CCUACGGGAGGCAGCAGUGAGGAAUAUUGGUCAAUGGACGAGAGUCUGAACCAGCCAAGUCGCGUGAAGGAUGACUGCCCUAUGGGUUGUAAACUUCUUUUAUAUGGGAAUAAAACGUUCCACGUGUGGGAUUUUGUAUGUACCAUAUGAAUAAGGAUCGGCUAACUCCGUGCCAGCAGCCGCGGUAAUACGGAGGAUCCGAGCGUUAUCCGGAUUUAUUGGGUUUAAAGGGAGCGUAGGUGGAUUGUUAAGUCAGGUGUGAAAGUUUGCGGCUCAACCGUAAAAUUGCAGUUGAAACUGGCAGUCUUGAGUACAGUAGAGGUGGGCGGAAUUCGUGGUGUAGCGGUGAAAUGCUUAGAUAUCACGAAGAACUCCGAUUGCGAAGGCAGUUCACUGGACUGCAACUGACACUGAGGCUCGAAAGUGUGGGUAUCAAACAGGAUUAGAUACCCCAGUAGUC
RNAcentral lists this ribosomal RNA (460 nucleotides) under uncultured bacterium. RNAcentral describes it as "partial 16S ribosomal RNA". It matches the Rfam family "Bacterial small subunit ribosomal RNA", at positions 338 to 795 of the family's 1533-position model. The record is from RNAcentral.